RNAcentral lists this long non-coding RNA (974 nucleotides) under Linum usitatissimum (flax). Its description in RNAcentral is "long non-coding RNA (LUSI_LNC002153)". The record is from RNAcentral. Lineage: Eukaryota; Viridiplantae; Streptophyta; Magnoliopsida; Malpighiales; Linaceae.
UGUUAGUUUACAGUUUAGUUAGCAGUAGUUUGUUAGGCCGAUUUCUGUGUCUCGUGAUCUGUUUUUAUAGUUUGAUCUCAGCAACUGAAUGUUAAUUGCAUAACCUAUUUGUCAUCUUAACUAAGUUUUAGUGGCUAAUAGGUUAAUUGCCAAUUUUUGUUCUAGUGGAAGAAGAAGAGCAGCUAAGUUUGAUGUUGUAGUUGUUGGAUUUUUGCUUAGAAUUGUGAUUCAGCUUUUGGAUUUUUGGUUAUAGACUCUGCAAGCCUUUUGUUAUUCUGCUGCUCAUUGAGAAAGGCACUUUGAACCUGUCAAUUGAGUUCAGUAACUAGUUACUACCUUUUGUGGCGUUUGCACUACGUGACAUGCAACUGGCAAGCACGAUUCUUCGAAGGUUUUUAUCGGUUAAUUUUGGCAUUGGUUAUUUACGUUACAGUGUCGACAUCAAUCAUUCCGUGUCUAGAAAUAUUAUUCUUGAGAGAAAGCAAAUGAGUAUGAUUAUACUUUAUAAAAACUGGUCUGGAUAACAAUAGAUACAGGUACAUAUGAUAUCACCGAUUUAACAUAUACAACAAACUAGUUACAAGAAAGGUACAACAAUUUCUAAGGUAGCUAAGCAUUAUGAAAUUGCGAGGGUGGUUACCGGCUUGUCACGGUCUGCUUGGUGCGUCGUCGGCUCCGUCUCUGCCUUAGACGAUUAUUCCAAUCUUUCACAUAUAACUUCGGGAACAUCCAUAGGAUUAGAGAGUCGAUCUUUGGCCAGUACCAAAAUCGGAAACCUGACCAUAACGCGGCUGGCAACAUGACAGCACCUAAGCCAAAAACGUAUCCGAAUGCUUUACUUAGAAAGUCCCAGUUGGUCGAUUUUUCAUGUCUGCCAUUGAAGUCACACCAAACAUUUGGAGAAGAGCAUGAUCUAGUUAAAGGUUUCCCACACAAAUUCGGGUUACCUCCAUACGAAGUGUUCUCAAAUGUUU